RNAcentral lists this ribosomal RNA (386 nucleotides) under uncultured bacterium. RNAcentral describes it as "bacterial SSU rRNA". It matches the Rfam family "Bacterial small subunit ribosomal RNA", at positions 28 to 416 of the family's 1533-position model. The record is from RNAcentral.
GACGAACGCUGGCGGCGUGCUUAACACAUGCAAGUCGAGCGGUAAGGCCCUUUCGGGGGUACACGAGCGGCGAACGGGUGAGUAACACGUGGGUGACCUGCCCUCAGCUCUGGGAUAAGCCUGGGAAACUGGGUCUAAUACCGGAUAUGACUCCAUGACGCAUGUUGUGGGGUGGAAAGCCUUGUGCGGCUGAGGAUGGGCCCGCGGCCUAUCAGCUUGUUGGUGGGGGAUGGCCUACCAAGGCGACGACGGGUAGCCGGCCUGAGAGGGCGACCGGCCACACUGGGACUGAGACACGGCCCAGACUCCUACGGGAGGCAGCAGUGGGAAAUCUUGCGCAAUGGGCGAAAGCCUGACGCAGCGACGCCGCGUGAGGGAUGACGGCC